AUGAAAGUAUUAAGAGGACAGGUAUCCCCAUUAAAAUACCAGGGGACACUAAUACAGAUUUUUCCAGACCUGUGUCCCGAAACCCUGGCAUGGAGAAAAUCUAUUAAGAGAGCCACAACUAUACUACAAAGUCAGAAGAUUCCAUACAGCUGGGGUUAUCCGGUACACCUGAGGUUUCGCUGGAGAAGCAACAACUACAAAAUUACAUCUUUAGAUCAAGGUCUAGCUUUACUUCAGGAGCUGAACUUGACAACUGAGGCAACAGAACCAGUACCGAUGGAGAAGGAAAAAGAAGAGGAAAGGGGGAAGAAAGAUGCAGCAACAGGAGGAGGAGAUUAAUAUGGACUAAUAUGGACCAAGACUGGACUAAUAUGGACUAAGACUGGAUUAAUAUGGAUUAAGACUGGACUAAUAUGGACUAAGACUGGACUAAUAUGGACUAAGACUGGACAUAUGGACUAAGACUGGACUAAUAUGGACUAAGACUGGAUAAGACUAAGACUGGAUUAAUAUGAACUAAGAUUGGAUUAAUAUGGACUAAAAUGGAUUAAUAUGGAUCAAUAGAGACUAAUAUGGACUAAGACUGGAUUAAUAUGGACUAAGAUUGGAUUAAUAUGGACUAAAAUGGAUUAAUAUGGAUCAAUAGGGACUAAUGUGGACUAUGACUGGAUUACAAUAGGACUGUUACUGGAUUAUUAUUGGACUAUGACUGGACUAAGACUGGAAAGAAGGAAGGAAGGAAGGAAAAAUACUGCGACAAGGACUGGUUAAUUCUAUGUUGGAGUAAAUUCUAGUAGUUAAGGUAUUAUAUAAAUAAUUACCCUCGGAGAUAUCGGAAUGAGCACACUCGGUGGGAGGAAGGGUCCCCUCCCCCCCCCCCACAAAGAGGUUUGGAAUAAACCAGGUUCGAGACAAGGGGUCUCUGAACGUAGUGGGGGGAAGAAAUAGGGGGAAUACACUCCACAAGGGAAAGGGGCGAAGGGAGGGAGAGGGGGGUAAAACAGGGGAGGACACACACAAGAGACCAGCCAAGUAGGAUGGAAAGUGGAUUUGUAAUCAAAUGGAGGAAUAUGUAAGGGUUGUAUCUCUGAAUUGUAAAGGUUUAGGCUCAGUUUACAAAAGGAAGAUCAUUGCGGACAUGAUAUAUAAAGCUAAAGCAAAUUUUGCUUUUUUACAAGAAACACACCAAGCAAAAUCAGGGGUAAAUGAGCUUAAGAUGCGUGGAUCUGUAACAUAUAUAAAAUCUUAUGGAACAUCUAAAUCGAAGGGUGUGGCAAUUAUAAUUCAAAAUCAAUGUGGUUUUAACAUUAAGGAAACAAAAGAUAGACGAACUAGGAAGAUACAUUAUUAUACAAGGGACAAUGGGUGGUGAAGAUUUUACUUUAGCCAAUGUAUAUGCCCCAAACACCAAUCAGGCAGAAUUUUACGAAACAAUAUUUAAAGAGAUAGAGGGAAUACAAAAAGGAUAUUUGAUUUUAGGAGGGGAUUUUAAUGGAAUAAUAGAUGAGGAAAUGGAUAAAUCUCAUUUUACAAUGAAAAGGAAAGGGAAAACACACAAAAAAAUACGAUUUUAAGUA
Molecule: long non-coding RNA, 1577 nt
Organism: Anolis carolinensis (green anole)
Lineage: Eukaryota; Metazoa; Chordata; Lepidosauria; Squamata; Anolidae
Source: Ensembl